RNAcentral lists this long non-coding RNA (419 nucleotides) under Elaeis guineensis (African oil palm). RNAcentral's name for it is "long non-coding RNA (EGUI_LNC000744)". The record is from RNAcentral. Lineage: Eukaryota; Viridiplantae; Streptophyta; Magnoliopsida; Arecales; Arecaceae.
CUGGUCUAAAAGCUACAUCUUAUCACCACAAACCUUGAAUGUACGGAGAUCCUUAGAGGAUUAAGUUCAACCGGUCUAUAGAUAAAAGGCAGAAUGUAUCCUGAUAUGAAGAGAUUCUACAUGGUGCUUGCAAUGAUUAUAGUAUGUUCACGCGUGCUUGUUGCAUUUGGCCUGAGUUUGUGAGUUUCAUAAAUUUUUUCAAAUAAAAUUUUUAUAAUCGAACAGACGAUAAGAGAAAUUAUAGUUGAACCGUCAUCAUCUACUAUAUGCAUAUAUUGAGACAUCCAUAAAAAAAGAAAUGAUUACAUGAUUAUUCAAAUACCCCGAAGAUUUAUUCAUUCUUCUUUUCUUAUGCAUGAACGGCCAUUUAUCUUUACGUGGCAAACAAUGACGAUCCAAUCAUAAAUUCAUGACCGGUC